This 947-nucleotide long non-coding RNA is filed under the name Marmota monax (woodchuck). The record is from RNAcentral. Lineage: Eukaryota; Metazoa; Chordata; Mammalia; Rodentia; Sciuridae.
GGAAGGAGCACAGGGUAGAGAGCUUCCUUAGCUUCCAAGGACUGCAGCAGGGUGGUCUCUACUGUAGGCAUGACCAGUUUGCAACUGCGAAAAUCACUUUGUCAUUUCAGGUGCUCCCACUGAAAGAAGGACCAGCCCCGAGGCUCUUUAUGGGGAGCCUUCUUGCCGGAGACCUCUUGCAGGCUUCCCGACCCAUUUCUUCCUCCUGCAGGGCCACCGGUGUUCCUCCUGCAUCCCUCGCGCCUGAGCACAUGCUUGGAUGGAAGGGCGCGCUCACAGGCUGCCAUCCAACGGCUCCAGCGUCCAUUGGGGCUCGUGCGGAGAAAGGCACAGGCGCGAGCACAGAAGGUGGGUUCCCACGGGCCAGCUGGGCUCCCAUGGCGGCGUCCAGACUCAGUCCCAUAGGCCUCUAGGUACUGGACCCGCGAACCUCUUCCGUCCCCACCGUGUCCCUGCCCGUUCCUCUGGCCCCUGCGCCUCGCCAGACAGCCCAGGCCCGGCCUUGCCUCCCCAGGGAUGCAGGCCGCCCGCAGCAGGCCUGGCAGUGAGGGCCGAGAUGGCCAGUGCCGCGCCCACGUCGAAGCAUCCUCCAUCCAUGUCCCUUGCAGCCUGUGCGAAACCCGGCUCCAGGGCACCUGUUUGGUGCCUGAGAAGCGCGGUCCUGGUCAGCAGGUCUGAGGCUCCUGUAGGUGUCUGACAAAGUGGUGACUGUCAUCUUCUUGUUCCGCCUGAAACCUGUGAAUGUUGGGGACACUGUCAGCUGGCAUCCGGGUUGUUAGCUGAAGGACGCUCAUUUCCCUGUCCUUAGCAACUUUGCAGAAGGGAACACACUGAGCCAAGUGUGCUGAGUCUGCUGUAGUCACCCCGUGAUUGACGGGCCAUCGUAGGUGGGCUGUUGGUGGGCGCGUCUGGACAGAGCACCUAAAUGACGAUGGGAGAAACCUGUG